ACGGAAGGCAGCAGUGAGGAAUAUUGGUCAAUGGGCGGAAGCCUGAACCAGCCAAGUCGCGUGAAGGAUGAAGGUAUUAUGUAUUGUAGACUUCUUUAGACGUAGAGAAAUAAGGGGAUCGUGAUCCCUGAUGCUAGUAUACGUAGAAUAAGGAUCGGCUAACUCCGUGCCAGCAGCCGCGGUAAUACGGAGGAUCCGAGCGUUAUCCGGAUUUAUUGGGUUUAAAGGGUGCGCAGGCGGCUUUUUAAGUCAGUGGUUAAAUCGUGGAGCUUAACUCCAUCCCGCCAUUGAUACUGGAGAGCUUGAUUGCGGUUGAGGUUGGCGGAAUUCGCCGUGUAGCGGUGAAAUGCAUAGAUAUGGCGAAGAACUCCGAUUGCGUAGGCAGCUGACCAAGCCGUAAAUGACGCUCAUGCACGAAAGUGCGGGGAUCGAACAGGAUUAGAUACCCUGGUA
Molecule: ribosomal RNA, 453 nt
Filed under: uncultured Porphyromonadaceae bacterium
Lineage: Bacteria; Pseudomonadati; Bacteroidota; Bacteroidia; Bacteroidales; Porphyromonadaceae
Description: partial 16S ribosomal RNA
Rfam family: Bacterial small subunit ribosomal RNA
Source: RNAcentral